Molecule: ribosomal RNA, 305 nt
Filed under: uncultured bacterium
Lineage: Bacteria
Description: bacterial SSU rRNA
Rfam family: Bacterial small subunit ribosomal RNA
Source: RNAcentral
CCUCGGGACGCAGCAGUCGGGAAUAUUGCGCAAUGGAGGAAACUCUGACGCAGUGACGCCGCGUAUAGGAAGAAGGUUUUCGGAUUGUAAACUAUUGUCGUUAGGGAAGAUAAAAGACAGUGCCUAAGGAGGAAGCUCCGGCUAACUACGUGCCAGCAGCCGCGGUAAUACGUAGGGAGCGAGCGUUGUCCGGAAUUACUGGGUGUAAAGGGAGCGUAGGCGGGACGGCAAGUCAGAUGUGAAAACUGAGGGCUCAACCUUCAGACUGCAUUUGAAACUGCUGUUCUUGAGUGAAGUAGAGGUAA